GCCUGGCUGGCUCAGUCAGUAAAGCAUAUGACUCUUGAUCUUGGGAUUGUGAGUUCAAGCCCCAUGAUGGGUG
Molecule: transfer RNA, 73 nt
Filed under: Ailuropoda melanoleuca (giant panda)
Lineage: Eukaryota; Metazoa; Chordata; Mammalia; Carnivora; Ursidae
Rfam family: tRNA
About the family: Transfer RNA (tRNA) molecules are approximately 80 nucleotides in length. Their secondary structure includes four short double-helical elements and three loops (D, anti-codon, and T loops). Further hydrogen bonds mediate the characteristic L-shaped molecular structure. tRNAs have two regions of fundamental functional importance: the anti-codon, which is responsible for specific mRNA codon recognition, and the 3' end, to which the tRNAs corresponding amino acid is attached (by aminoacyl-tRNA synthetases). tRNAs cope with the degeneracy of the genetic code in two manners: having more than one tRNA (with a specific anti-codon) for a particular amino acid; and 'wobble' base-pairing, i.e. permitting non-standard base-pairing at the 3rd anti-codon position.
Source: Rfam by way of RNAcentral